RNAcentral lists this microRNA precursor (191 nucleotides) under Oryza glumipatula. RNAcentral describes it as "MIR812 microRNA precursor family". It matches the Rfam family "MIR812 microRNA precursor family". Lineage: Eukaryota; Viridiplantae; Streptophyta; Magnoliopsida; Poales; Poaceae. The record is from Rfam by way of RNAcentral.
UUUAAGCGUAAGGUUUCUUUGUCCAAUGUUUAAUCAUCCAUCUUGUUAAAAAUUAUUUUAUGAUAAGUAUUUUAUUAUUGAAUGAUAAAACAUAAAUAAUAAUACUUUAUGUGUGACUUAUUCCUUUUAUAAUUUUUAAAAUAUGAUGGUUGAUCAAACGUUAGAAACAGAAAUCUAUAAAUACACUUAAA